GUGCUCACUUUGGCAGCACAUAUACUAAGAUUGGAACAAUACAGAAAAGAUUAGCAUGGUCCCUGCAUAGGGAUGGCAUGCAAAUUCAUGAAGCAGUACAUAUUUUU
Molecule: small nuclear RNA, 107 nt
Filed under: Microcebus murinus (gray mouse lemur)
Lineage: Eukaryota; Metazoa; Chordata; Mammalia; Primates; Cheirogaleidae
Source: RNAcentral